AGGACGAACGCUGGCGGCGUGCUUAACACAUGCAAGUCGAGCGGAAAGGCCCUUCGGGGUACUCGAGCGGCGAACGGGUGAGUAACACGUGAGUAACCUGCCCCUAGCUCUGGGAUAGCUCCGGGAAACCGGGAUUAAUACCAGAUACGACCACUUUAGACAUCUGUCGUGGUGGAAAGGAUUCCGGCUAGGGAUGGGCUCGCGGCCUAUCAGCUUGUUGGUGGGGUAACGGCCUACCAAGGCGACGACGGGUAGCCGG
Molecule: ribosomal RNA, 259 nt
Filed under: uncultured bacterium
Lineage: Bacteria
Description: partial small subunit ribosomal RNA
Rfam family: Bacterial small subunit ribosomal RNA
Source: RNAcentral